GUUGGGCUAGUAACCAGCAGGUAGCCUAGUGGUUAGAGUGUUGGACUAGUAACCAGCAGGUAGCCUAGUGGUUAGAGUGUUGGACUAGUAACCAGCAGGUAGCCUAGUGGUUAGAGCGUUGGACUAGUAACCAGCAGGUAGCCUAGUGGUUAGAGCGUUGGACUAGUAACCAGCAGGUAGCCUAGUGGUUAGAGCGUUGGGCCAGUAACCAGCAGGUAGCCUAGUGGUUAGAGUGUUGGGCCAGUAACCAGCAGGUAGCCUAGUGGUUAGAGUGUUGGGCCAGUAACCAGCAGGUAGCCUAGUGGUUAGAGUGUUGGGCCAGUAACCAGCAGGUAGCCUAGUGGUUAGAGCGUUGGACCAGUAACCAGCAGGUAGCCUAGUGGUUAGAGUGUUGGGCCAGUAACCAGCAGGUAGCCUAGUGGUUAGAGUGUUGGGCCAGUAACCAGCAGGUAGCCUAGUGGUUAGAGUGUUGGGCCAGUAACCAGCAGGUAGCCUAGUGGUUAGAGUGUUGGGUCAGUAACCAGCAGGUAGCCUAGUGGUUAGAGUGUUGGGCCAGUAACCAGCAGGUAGCCUAGUGGUUACAGUGUUGGGCCAGUAACCAGCAUGUAGCCUAGUGGUUAGAGUGUUGGGCCAGUAACCAGCAGGUAGUCUAGUGGUUAGAGUGUUAGGGAGGGUAACCACCAGGUAGCCUAGUGAAUAGAGUGUUGGACUAGUAACCAGCAGGUAGCCUAGUGGUUAGAGCGUUGGACUAGUAACCAGCAGGUAGCCUAGUGGUUAGAGCGUUGGGCCAGUAACCAGCAGGUAGCCUAGUGGUUGGGCCAGUAACCAGCAGGUAGCCUAGUGGUUAGAGUGUUGGACUAGAAACCAGCAGGUAGCCUAGUGGUUAGAGUGUUGGGCUAGUAACCAG
Long non-coding RNA from Oncorhynchus keta (chum salmon), 907 nucleotides. RefSeq lists it as uncharacterized. The record is from RefSeq and is a predicted model, not a curated record. The transcript has 4 exons. Lineage: Eukaryota; Metazoa; Chordata; Actinopteri; Salmoniformes; Salmonidae.